GAUGAACGCUGGCGGCGUGCCUAAUACAUGCAAGUCGAGCGAACGGACGAGAAGCUUGCUUCUCUGAUGUUAGCGGCGGACGGGUGAGUAACACGUGGAUAACCUACCUAUAAGACUGGGAUAACUUCGGGAAACCGGAGCUAAUACCGGAUAAUAUUUUGAACCGUAUGGUUCAAAAGUGAAAGACGGUCUUGCUGUCACUUAUAGAUGGAUCCGCGCUGCAUUAGCUAGUUGGUAAGGUAACGGCUUACCAAGGCAACGAUGCAUAGCCGACCUGAGAGGGUGAUCGGCCACACUGGAACUGAGACACGGUCCAGACUCCUACGGGAGGCAGCAGUAGGGAAUCUUCCGCAAAGGGCGAAAGCCUGACGGAGCAACGCCGCGUGAGUGAUGAAGGUCUUCGGAUCGUAAAACUCUGUUAUUAGGGAAGAACAUAUGUGUAAGUAACUGUGCACAUCUUGACGGUACCUAAUCAGAAAGCCACGGCUAACUACGUG
RNAcentral lists this ribosomal RNA (497 nucleotides) under uncultured bacterium. RNAcentral describes it as "partial 16S ribosomal RNA". It matches the Rfam family "Bacterial small subunit ribosomal RNA", at positions 28 to 507 of the family's 1533-position model. The record is from RNAcentral.